RNAcentral lists this ribosomal RNA (497 nucleotides) under uncultured bacterium. Its description in RNAcentral is "partial 16S ribosomal RNA". It matches the Rfam family "Bacterial small subunit ribosomal RNA", at positions 28 to 507 of the family's 1533-position model. The record is from RNAcentral.
GAUGAACGCUGGCGGCGUGCCUAAUACAUGCAAGUCGAGCGAACGGACGAGAAGCUUGCUUCUCUGAUGUUAGCGGCGGACGGGUGAGUAACACGUGGAUAACCUACAUAUAAGACUGGGAUAACUUCGGGAAACCGGAGCUAAUACCGGAUAAUAUUUUGAACCGCAUGGUUCAAAAGUGAAAGACGGUCUUGCUGUCACUUAUAGAUGGAUCCGCGCUGCAUUAGAUAGUUGGUAAGGUAACGGCUUACCAAGGCAACGAUGCAUAGCCGACCUGAGAGGGUGAUCGGCCACACUGGAACUGAGACACGGUCCAGACUCCUACGGGAGGCAGCAGUAGGGAAUCUUCCGCAAUGGGCGAAAGCCUGACGGAGCAACGCCGCGUGAGUGAUGAAGGUCUUCGGAUCGUAAAACUCUGUUAUUAGGGAAGAACAUAUGUGUAAGUAACUGUGCACAUCUUGACGGUACCUAAUCAGAAAGCCACGGCUAACUACGUG